RNAcentral lists this ribosomal RNA (475 nucleotides) under uncultured bacterium. RNAcentral's name for it is "partial 16S ribosomal RNA". It matches the Rfam family "Bacterial small subunit ribosomal RNA", at positions 28 to 508 of the family's 1533-position model. The record is from RNAcentral.
GACGAACGCUGGCGGCGCGCUUAACACAUGCAAGUCGAGCGGUAAGGCUCCUUCGGGAGUACACGAGCGGCGAACGGGUGAGUAACACGUGAGUAAUCUGCCCUUCACUUCGGGAUAACCACCGGAAACGGUGGCUAAUACCGAAUACGACCAGUCUUCGCAUGAGGUGCUGGUGGAAAGUCUUUUCGGUGAAGGAUGUGCUCGCGGCCUAUCAGCUUGUUGGUGGGGUAAUGGCCUACCAAGGCUUCGACGGGUAGCCGGCCUGAGAGGGUGACCGGCCACACUGGGACUGAGACACGGCCCAGACUCCUACGGGAGGCAGCAGUGGGGAAUAUUGGACAAUGGGCGAAAGCCUGAUCCAGCAACGCCGCGUGAGGGAUGACGGCCUUCGGGUUGUAAACCUCUUUCAGUACCGACGAAGCGCCCUGUCGGGUGGUGACGGUAGGUACAGAAGAAGGACCGGCCAACUACGUGC